GUUGUAACUUGGUCAUAAAAAAAUGAUUUUCUAGCCAAUCAAUUUAAUCUUUAUCCAUAUUUUAUUCUAGGUCUUCACUUUCAAACCAAAAUUAGUAGUUCUUAAUAUUUCAGUAGAUAUUUAUAGAAUACUAAAUCCACUCUAUCCAUAAUUGGCAUGAGGAUCCUUGAGAAUACACAUGAUCCAACUCUAAGCCACAUA
This 201-nucleotide long non-coding RNA is filed under the name Elaeis guineensis (African oil palm). Its description in RNAcentral is "long non-coding RNA (EGUI_LNC046677)". Lineage: Eukaryota; Viridiplantae; Streptophyta; Magnoliopsida; Arecales; Arecaceae. The record is from RNAcentral.